RNAcentral lists this ribosomal RNA (496 nucleotides) under uncultured bacterium. RNAcentral describes it as "partial 16S ribosomal RNA". It matches the Rfam family "Bacterial small subunit ribosomal RNA", at positions 29 to 507 of the family's 1533-position model. The record is from RNAcentral.
AUGCACGCUGGCGGCGUGCCUAAUACAUGCAAGUCGAGCGAACAGAUGAGGAGCUUGCUCCUCUGACGUUAGCGGCGGACGGGUGAGUAACACGUGGAUAACCUACCUAUAAGACUGGGAUAACUUCGGGAAACCGGAGCUAAUACCGGAUAAUAUAUUGAACCGCAUGGUUCAAUAGUGAAAGACGGUUUUGCUGUCACUUAUAGAUGGAUCCGCGCCGCAUUAGCUAGUUGGUAAGGUAACGGCUUACCAAGGCAACGAUGCGUAGCCGACCUGAGAGGGUGAUCGGCCACACUGGAACUGAGACACGGUCCAGACUCCUACGGGAGGCAGCAGUAGGGAAUCUUCCGCAAUGGGCGAAAGCCUGACGGAGCAACGCCGCGUGAGUGAUGAAGGUCUUCGGAUCGUAAAACUCUGUUAUUAGGGAAGAACAAAUGUGUAAGUAACUAUGCACGUCUUGACGGUACCUAAUCAGAAAGCCACGGCUAGCUACGUG